RNAcentral lists this long non-coding RNA (768 nucleotides) under Mus spicilegus (steppe mouse). RNAcentral's name for it is "lncRNA (ENSMSIG00000023788.1)". Lineage: Eukaryota; Metazoa; Chordata; Mammalia; Rodentia; Muridae. The record is from RNAcentral.
GGCAGGCCUCCUGCUUUAGGCCUACCCGGCCUGCACGAGCCUCCCACUCCCCUCAGAUUGUCCACCCGCCCGUAGCCACUGCGGCCCUCACCUUGCCUACGAGACCGGCCUUACCUCUCCCAGUCAAGCCUGCCUAAAUCGGGCAAAGCCGGGCGCCGCCGACGGUGAGGACCAAAGAAUAUUCACCACCUUCACAGUCCGGCUGCUCCUACUGCAGCCCAGCGCGCACAGCAACUCCCAGCAUGCACGGCGACCGGCCGGCUUCGGCGGCCCCGCCCCGGCUCCGCCCCACCACGUGACCUGCUUUCGGGUCGGUCCCCGCCUACUUCCGUCCCUCCGCUCUCCCGGAGGAGGGAGGAGGCAGCUGGGGCUGCUCAAGAGUAGCAACUUCCUCCCUCUUCCCGCCCCCGCCCGGCUACCCCCUGCUUACAAUGGCUUCCGGGUCGCCAGCGCCUUGGAGCCUUCUGGGAAAACCAUCUCAUUUCCUCCCCUCCCCCUCCUCCUUGCCGUCCACCAACCAGCCUCCCGUCAGAACGGGACAUGCGCACUCCAGGGAAGGCACUCAAAAGUGGGGGGCAGGAAAGAUAACUUCUACAAGAACCUGUGUAUUGGAUCCUAACUAAAUCAAAAUGUUUGAAAUCAGAAGAUCAUGAUCGGUGAGUGGCAUUUCUCAAUUUACUGUUUUCUGGAUGUGACAGUGUAGAAAGAAUGUCUGGGUUGUUGGUAUAGUAUAUUGACAUGGUUACUGGAUUCCAGUGUUUUGAAUAG